GUCCUACUCACACUAGAGGAGCCUGUCCUAUAAUCGAUACUCCACGUUAUACCUUACCCCCCCUCGCUCAACCUAUAUACCGCCGUCAUCAGCCUACACUGUGAAACCACCACCGUAAGCAAAACCACAACACAUAAACACGACAGGUCAAGGUGUAGUUCAUGGGGGGACAGCGAUGAGCUACAUUUUCUAUAUAGAAAAUCACCGCCGGCACCGUGAAAUUGCUUAAAGGCGGAUUUAGAAGUAAACUUGGCAAGCUAUGCCAACUUGACGCCCUAGGACGC
RNAcentral lists this ribosomal RNA (284 nucleotides) under Pristurus carteri. RNAcentral's name for it is "partial 12S ribosomal RNA". The record is from RNAcentral. Lineage: Eukaryota; Metazoa; Chordata; Lepidosauria; Squamata; Sphaerodactylidae.